UACGUAGGUGGCAAGCGUUGUCCGGAUUUACUGGGCGUAAAGAGCGCGCAGGCGGUCGUUCAAGUCGCGUGUGAAAGCCCCCGGCUCAACUGGGGAGGGUCACGCGAUACUGAUCGACUCGAAGGCAGGAGAGGGUAGUGGAAUUCCCGGUGUAGUGGUGAAAUUCGUAGAUAUUCGGAAGAACACCAGUGGCGAAGGCGGCUCACUGGCCCGUUACCGACGCUCAGGCGCGACAGCGUGGGGAGCAAACAGG
RNAcentral lists this ribosomal RNA (253 nucleotides) under uncultured bacterium. RNAcentral describes it as "partial 16S ribosomal RNA". It matches the Rfam family "Bacterial small subunit ribosomal RNA", at positions 524 to 776 of the family's 1533-position model. The record is from RNAcentral.